RNAcentral lists this ribosomal RNA (499 nucleotides) under uncultured bacterium. RNAcentral describes it as "bacterial SSU rRNA". It matches the Rfam family "Bacterial small subunit ribosomal RNA", at positions 8 to 518 of the family's 1533-position model. The record is from RNAcentral.
AGAGUUUGAUCCUGGCUUAGGAUGAACGCUGGCGGCGUGCUUAACACAUGCAAGUCGAACGAGGUUAAUGCUUUCGGGUGUUGACCGAGUGGCGGACGGGUGAGUAACGCGUGAACAAUCUGUCCUGCAAAGGGGGAUAACAACUGGAAACAGUUGCUAAUACCGCAUAAGACCACGGUAUCGCAUGGUACAGAGGUAAAAGCAGCAAUGCGAUGCAGGGUGAGUUCGCGUCUGAUUAGGCAGUUGGCGGGGUAACGGCCCACCAAACCGACGAUCAGUAGCCGACCUGAGAGGGUGAUCGGCCACAUUGGGACUGAGACACGGCCCAGACUCCUACGGGAGGCAGCAGUGGGGAAUAUUGGGCAAUGGGCGCCAAGCCUGACCCAGCAACGCCGCGUGAGGGAAGAAGGUUUUCGGAUUGUAAACCUCUGUCCUAAAGGACGAAGGAAGUGACGGUACUUUAGGAGGAAGCCCCGGCUAACUACGUGCCAGCCGCAGC